UCAAGUUACUAAGAGCACAGGGUGAAUGCCUUGGCACCAAUAGCCGAUGAAGGACGUGACAAGCUGCGAAAAGCCACGGGGAGUAGCAAAUAUGCAUUGAUCCGUGGAUGUCCGAAUGGGGAAACCCACAUGAGGUAAAUGCUCAUGUACCGUAUCGUAAAUACAUAGCGAUGCGGAGGGAGACGGGGUGAACUGAAACAUCUAAGUAACCCCAGGAAGAGAAAUCAAACGAGAUUCCGUAAGUAGUGGCGAGCGAAAGCGGAAGAGGCCAAACCGAAAGUCUUCGGAUUUUCGGGGUUGCGGACUGCAAUAAGUGACCGUAGAACUAGCAGAAGAGCCGAUGGAAAGCGGCCGGCAUAGCGGGUAAGACCCCCGUACGCGAAAGGGAAGCGGAGCGAGCAGAAUCCAGAGUACCACGAGACACGAGAAACCUUGUGGGAAGCCGGGGGGACCACCCUCCAAGCCUAAAUACUCAUUGGUGACCGAUAGUGUAGAAGUACUGUGAAGGAAAGGUGAAAAGAACCCCUGGCGGGGAGUGAAAAAGAACCUGAAACCCUGUGUUUACAAGCAGUCGAAGAGCGUUAAGGCUCGACGGCGUACUUUUUGUAGAACGGUCCGACGAGUUACGGUAGUUAGCAAGGUUAAGUACUAGAAGGUACGGAGCCGAAGGGAAACCGAGUCUGAAUAGGGCGAUAAGUUAGCUGUCGUAGACCCGAAACCGGGUGACCUAUCCAUGAGCAGGUUGAAGUGACGGUAAAACGUCAUGGAGGACCGAACCGGUGUCAGUUGAAAAUGGCUCGGAUGACUUGUGGAUAGCGGAGAAAUUCCAAUCGAACCCGGAGAUAGCUGGUUCUCCUCGAAAUAGCUUUAGGGCUAGCCUUGUAUAUGUCUAACGGAGGUAGAGCACUGAAUGGUCUCGGGGCCUACGCAGGUUACCAAAACUUAUCAAACUCCGAAUGCCGUAUAGAUAAAGUACAGGAGUCAGACAGUGACAGAGAAGUGCCAUUGUCGAAAGGGAAACAGCCCAGACCACCAGCUAAGGUCCCGAAAUUACGGUUAAGUGGGAAAGGAUGUGGAUUUGCUAAGACAGCUAGGAUGUUGGCUUAGAAGCAGCCACUCAUUUAAAGAGUGCGUAAUAGCUCACUAGUCGAGUGAGUCUGCGCCGAAAAUUACCGGGGCUCAAACCGUAUACCGAAGCUGUGGAUCCGAAAUGGAUGGUAGAGGAGCUUACUGUAAGCAGUUGAAGCACGAUCGUAAGGACGUGUGGAUGUAUCAGUAGUGAGAAUGUCGGAAUAAGUAACGAGAGAGAAGUGAGAAUCUUCUCCGUCGAAAAUCCAAGGUUUCCUGGGGAAGGGUCGUCCUCCCAGGGUUAGUCGGGACCUAAGGCGAGGCCGAAAGGCGUAGUCGAUGGACAACAGAUUGAUAUUUCUGUACUACCAAUGCCCGUUAUGAGAGAGGCAGGGACACAGGAGGAUAAUCGAAUCGCACUGCAGGAAUAGUGCGACCAAGCGAGGUAGAUAGGCUGUUAGUGAAGUACGGCAGCCGUUUCGAAGGCGUGACGGGGAGGGAAAUUAAGUACCGAAGUCGAUGAAUCCACACUGGCGAGAAAAGCUGCUAUCCAGGGUAGGGGUACCCGUACCGCAAACCGACACAGGUGGAUGAGGAGAGAAUCCUAAGACGAGCGGGAGAAGCGUUGUUAAGGAACUCGGCAAAUUAACCCCGUAAGUUCGCAAGAAGGGGUGCCUCGGUAGCGAUACCAGGCCGCAGUGAAUUGGCCCAAGCAACUGUUUAUCAAAAACACAGGUCUCCGCUAAAUCGAAAGAUGAAGUAUGGGGGCUGACGCCUGCCCGGUGCUGGAAGGUCACGGGAAUCUGUAAGCGCAAGCGAAGCAGUGAACUUAAGCCCCAGUAAACGGCGGCCGUAACUAUAACGGUCCUAAGGUAGCGAAAUUCCUUGUCAGGUAAGUUCUGACCCGCACGAAUGGCGU
This 1987-nucleotide ribosomal RNA is filed under the name bioreactor metagenome. RNAcentral describes it as "bacterial LSU rRNA". It matches the Rfam family "Bacterial large subunit ribosomal RNA", at positions 3 to 2002 of the family's 2925-position model. The record is from RNAcentral.